RNAcentral lists this long non-coding RNA (229 nucleotides) under Prunus persica (peach). RNAcentral describes it as "long non-coding RNA (PPER_LNC003483)". Lineage: Eukaryota; Viridiplantae; Streptophyta; Magnoliopsida; Rosales; Rosaceae. The record is from RNAcentral.
GGAUACUUGGAAACUGUGAUUAUGGUUUGGAUAUGGUUGAAACCCAGGCACCCUUAAUGGCUUGUUUCAUAGACCCUUAGUGGUGUUAAUCUGUGUGCAUAGGACUUGUGGUAGCUACACGAGUAUUGAGGAUUCUGGUAUGCGUAUUGGUGAGCCCAGUCCCCUGAUUAGAAGGCUGGUCCCUAGCCACAUGGUUGUUGAGGAUUCCUCCAUGUGGACGGCACAUCCC